This is a non-coding RNA of Tachysurus fulvidraco (yellow catfish), 74 nucleotides long. NCBI's taxonomy places the organism in Eukaryota, Metazoa, Chordata, Actinopteri, Siluriformes, Bagridae. The record is from the annotation of a RefSeq genome assembly.
GCUCCAAUGGCACAAUUGGUUAGUGUGUGGUACUUAUAAUGCCGAGGUUGUGAGUUCAAGCCUCACCUGGAGCA